This 254-nucleotide ribosomal RNA is filed under the name uncultured bacterium. RNAcentral's name for it is "partial 16S ribosomal RNA". It matches the Rfam family "Bacterial small subunit ribosomal RNA", at positions 524 to 776 of the family's 1533-position model. The record is from RNAcentral.
CACGUAGGGGGCAAGCGUUGUCCGGAUUUAUUGGGCGUAAAGAGCUCGUAGGCGGCUCAGUAAGUCGGGUGUGAAACCUCCAGGCUCAACCUGGAGACGCCACCUGAUACUGCUGUGGCUAGAGUCCGGUAGGGGAGCGUGGAAUUCCUGGUGUAGCGGUGAAAUGCGCAGAUAUCAGGAGGAACACCAGCGGCGAAGGCGGCGCUCUGGGCAGUAACUGACGCUGAGGAGCGAAAGCGUGGGGAGCGAACAGG